This is a long non-coding RNA of Dunckerocampus dactyliophorus (ringed pipefish), 3322 nucleotides long. RefSeq lists it as uncharacterized. Lineage: Eukaryota; Metazoa; Chordata; Actinopteri; Syngnathiformes; Syngnathidae. The record is from RefSeq and is a predicted model, not a curated record. The transcript has 3 exons.
GUCUGAGUUGUGCGACGAUCGCGAGGGCCGACACAGCGCUCGCCAUCUUGGUGAGUGUGCCCUCUUUGUUUCUUCGCCCCUAGUUUUCCUGGCAGGAGCCUACAGGGAAUAAAGACCCAACGAGGAAGGUGAGAGACAAAAUGUGUGAUAUGUGAUCCUAAACAUUGGCUUUCUGUUGGACUUGGCGUUGCGUGUCACUCACAGGUUCCCAGGCGCUCCUCCAGGAACCCGACCUGCUCGCUGAGGGAGUCGAUGCGGUCCAGCUGCUGGAAGGAGUGCGACAACAGGGUGGUUUCAGACACACCCUCGUCCAGCGACAGCGGGAAGACGCUGCCGUACGGCGCCAGCGCCAACUGCAGCUUCUGCAUGGACGGAACGGAAGUGAUUGAAAAAGAUCUUCUGUGUGACUUCAUGAGGAGAGAGUGACGGGUACUGUAAAAGUUAUAUCUUCAGCUUUUCUUUGUGGUUCUUUAGAAGAAGUAGUCUGUGAUCAAACAAUUGACAAGGUUUUCAAAUUAUAUUAAAAAAUAACAGCGCUCGACAUUUAACAUUACUUUUACUUUGUUUUGCUGGUAAAGAAAAUAAACAAGCCUCAAAACCAUCAUUUAACAAAAUAAGAACCAAUAAACAUGUACCUUGCCAUUUAAUAUAGAAAAUGGGGGGGAACAACCGCUGGUGGCAGUGAUGUUGCAGUGUCCCGGUGAGGUGGUGACGUGUGCUAUGUUUGACUCUAGUUUGAUUGCUUAUGUUUUGUUGGAACCAGAAAUGCGUGUUAUGGAUGUAAAAAGAGACAGGGAGACACAGAGUGCCACCCUCGAUGGGCUGUCGGGUUGAUAGCCUGUUAAGCGGAACCGGAGUUGUAUGCAUUGCAGCCGAUGACGGAGCCACUCCCAUCACAUUUACAUACCUAUGAAAUGACGACGGUCUUUAAGCUGUAAAAUUCGAAGGUUACAAUGCAUUGCGCGAUCACGUGCAAGCAUCGCAAGAUUUUGUGUCUGUUUUCGUGGUCCGAGAUGGCGGCGUAAACAAACAAUGUUUUGGCCGCUGAAUAAGUGGGCGAACCCAAGCCAAGGCAAAAUUUGGGUUGUUAAACGAAAAAUGUGCUAACCAAGGCGGACAUUAACCAAGGUACCACCGUACGCAGACUCUGUAUUGCAGUUGCCGCACCCUCUAGAAAGUGAAAGUUACGUUUGUGUGAAGGCGAAAGUUAAACUUAUGUAAGAGAGUGAGCACACAAUGCAUCUUUGGUGUGUCUGACUCUUCUGGUAUUUUUCCAUCAGUGAUACGUAAGUGUUGCGCAACUGUGAUUGUGCUAUGUGAGUGUGUGUCAAUAAGGCCUUCUAUGAGAAGCUAAUAAAUAGACAGAGUUAAUGGUGUACACUAGGUCCCCAACUUACGAACACCCGACUAGCGAACACUCGCGGAUACGAACACAAGCCAACUGGUCAAUAUUUUAUUUUAUUUUGCCUUGUAGUCGCUCAAUCAGUAUUUAUACUGCUACUGUACAUGCUUGACCAGUAGAGGGCACUGUGACACUGCUAAUGCAGCCUUAGAGCUAAUGAGACCAACAUAGGAAGAGUUAGACGCUGGGGAGAUACAGUGUAAAGCUAAAUGGAAAGCUAAAUUGUACAACCCAGACAGAGCGUGUUAUUAAAGUUUAUGAAGAGUUAAUAGGCCUGCUUAAUUCUACACCACCCACAGAACACUACCUCUUUUAGAAGAGUCUAACAAUGACGACGACGACUUGUCCUUUUUUUCAAUAUCUCCUCCUCCAACUCUUCCACGACGACGUAUACUCGGCGACUCCUCUUCAAAGGUAAAUAACAUUUAUCAUUACGUAUUAUUAUAGCACUUUUAUUAUUGUUUUUUUCAUUCAUUAUCCUGGUUUAAUAUUACUACUGCAUCCAAACUCAUAUUUACAUACAUACACAUAUACUGUAUAUGUAUACACGUACAUGUAGUACCUAUAUCAUCGCUAAUAUUACCUUUUCCCAUACUUAAGAGCAAUUCAACAUAAGAACGGUCGUCUGGAAUUAAUUGUGUUCGUUGGUUGGGGACUUAGUGUACUUAUAAUAUCUAACAAUACCUUUUCCAGAAGCUCCACCCUGCUCCUCAGGCUCUGCACCUCCUCCGACACAUUCCCCGGAAUGCGGAAUCGUUCACCUGCAGCAAAAGAAGACAUCAGGGGGUGCUCUGGAAGGGUGGCAUAUGUAAAGUUGCACAUCUUUGUAGGAACUGCAUGGAGGCCAAGAGAAUGUAGAGCGCAGGGGCGGGGGGCCAUCAUGGAUAUGGGAAUCUGGGAGAGAGGUCACUAAAAAUAGACCACUCAUUCACACGGAGCUUGCAUAAGGAGGCAGUGCCUCGAUCGUUCCCAGAUGUGGUCCAUUGUCGGCCAAGAGACUGUCCUCCGGUCAACGUGGCUGUGACGUUUGCGUAACAGCAGAAUGCAGUCUCUACUGACCAUUUAGUUUUUGCAGAGGAGCGCUCCAGGAAGCUGAGAGGUUCUGCAGAGCCGCCAUUUGAUGUGACGGCAUUUCUAACGCUUGAAAAGAAGUCCCCAGCGGUCAAGAGUGGGAAUGAGACCACAUGCCACCUUUCGAGAUGAGCAGGAGGGUGUUUGUUGUUGUUGCUAGGUAACAGGACAAGCACACGCCAACACUCCCUCAGCGCUGUGUGGUCAGCGUCCAGCAGAAGAUGCCAGUCGCAGUGCAUUAUUACUCACGAAAAACAAAACAAUGUACCUAUCUCCAGUGCACUCACCUGAAGUCGAAACAUCACCGGGGUCCUGGGAGGCGGGGCCCAGGCGGUAACAGGAGCGUCCGUCUCCGGACAGGCUGAACCUGUCCCUGCAGGCGCAUCGGAAGCUUCCGGCUGUGUUGAUGCACUGGUGGAAAGGGGGUUCUACCUAUCUGGCAUUGGUGUCCCGUCCAUCCUGGUGGACAAGCACACUGGUUGGGUGUCAUGCAUGUGCCCCCGUUCACACAGGUGUGAUCACACACAGCUGCAAGACACAUUAAAAAGGAAUGAUUACAUAAACCAAUUGGAUUGUUCUCAAACAUUACAUCUCUUAAAGCAGACUUUUCCAACCGUUUCAGUCACAAAUCUAAUUAUAAUGGACAAUUUUGCAAAAUGUAACAUUUUUAAAAUACAGUAAUACCAGUUGUUCUCAAAUCAUGUCAAUCCAAUUCAUCUGUUCCAGACACCCGAAUAUAUAAACAAAAAAUACGUUUUAUUGAGAAUAAUUAGUUUGACAUGCAGAAAACAAAGCAAAUUACAGUCAUCCUUCACUAUAUCACGUUUUUUUCCGAAAAGAAUUCAUAAA